RNAcentral lists this ribosomal RNA (252 nucleotides) under uncultured bacterium. RNAcentral's name for it is "partial 16S ribosomal RNA". It matches the Rfam family "Bacterial small subunit ribosomal RNA", at positions 524 to 776 of the family's 1533-position model. The record is from RNAcentral.
UACGUAGGGGGCAAGCGUUGUCCGGAAUUAUUGGGCGUAAAGCGCGCGCAGGCGGUUAUUUAAGUCGGGGGUUUAAGCCCGGGGCUCAACCCCGGUUCGCAUCCGAAACUGGAUGACUUGAGUGUAGGAGAGGAAAGUGGAAUUCCACGUGUAGCGGUGAAAUGCGUAGAGAUGUGGAGGAACACCAGUGGCGAAGGCGACUUUCUGGCCUAUAACUGACGCUGAGGCGCGAAAGCGUGGGGAGCAAACAGG